RNAcentral lists this long non-coding RNA (216 nucleotides) under Gossypium barbadense (sea-island cotton). Its description in RNAcentral is "long non-coding RNA (GBAR_LNC005584)". The record is from RNAcentral. Lineage: Eukaryota; Viridiplantae; Streptophyta; Magnoliopsida; Malvales; Malvaceae.
CUCGAUACAAAAUUAUUAGCAAUCGAGCAUAUUCUUCGUAAUUUUUCCCUCGAUCGCGACUUGAAUCUCGUUUCUCUUGAUCUAUAAUGCCAACUUAAUCUUAUUUAAUACAUACAUUCAUCAAAAUAGCAUUUAAUACGAACUUUGGAAAAAUUACAUUUUUGCCCCUAAACUUUUGCAUAAUUGUACUUUUGCCCCUAGGCUCGCGAAUUAAAC